This is a long non-coding RNA of Canis lupus familiaris (dog), 2277 nucleotides long. RefSeq lists it as uncharacterized. The transcript is spliced from 2 exons. NCBI's taxonomy places the organism in Eukaryota, Metazoa, Chordata, Mammalia, Carnivora, Canidae. The record is from RefSeq and is a predicted model, not a curated record.
CCACUUUGGUUGAGGGACCGUUGUUUUGCUGAGGGUUGGGUGCUGGUACAGACUGGUAUGGGAUUCUGGCAUGCUUUUAUCGAGGAAUGUUGACACACAUCUGCUUAAAAUCAUUUAAGUUUAUCAUCUCGACUGACUCAUAGGGCAGCAUACACAGAAAAGCGAGAGGAUGAGCCAUUUAAUGUGGUAUCAUGAAAGGAAGAUCAACUUCUUAAUGAAAAAAAGCUGAAAUGGGAGAGGGAGGCGAGUACAUGAAGAGCACUUCCAGGCUUACAUAAGUAACAUUCCCGCUGCAUAAACAUCUUGGCAAACCCAGAGACUAAAUCCCCAUCCCACACUGCUGGCCUGAACCAAACACUGUAUAAUAUUUUUUAAAAAAUCCUGUUGAUGGUAACAUUUUUCUGUCCAGAAACAAGUCAUUAGUUUGGACAAAAGAAUCCAAAUGCAUCUGCUUCGUUCCCCAAAGUUCUAGUGGAAAAUAUUAUCUAGAGAAAAAGCAAAAGAGGAAUAAGAGUGGAGAAUUAUGAUUUCUUAAGAGUGAAACAGAGAGAUGGCAGUUAAAAUCUCUGAAGUUCCUCUCAGUACAAAAUUACGAACCCCAAAUUAAAUUAAUCCAUCCCCACUUGGCAAAUGCCAAGCAGAGUCCAAAACAAGUCAUUUUUAGUGACCCAAAUUGAACCUUUACAUAUUUACCUAACUUCUGCAUUGACAUGAAAUUUAAAUAUGCAGUUGGUGGCUUGGAGUCCCCAGCUCUACUGUGAUGUGUACAUACCAAUGUAUUCAUACAAAAUUUUGUUCCAAGGAAAGAAAGAUUUUAGAGAAUGCUACCUGUUUCACAACAUAUCAAUGACAUUCAGACUCCAAAAAGAUUUAAUGCAAGUUGGGAGAACUAUUUCUUCUUUUUAAGUAUUUAAAUCAUAGAAACAAAGUAAUAUGCCAGUAAGACCAGUAUCCACGGUCCCUGAGCUACAAAGAAUAUUUGCAUUUCUUUCUUCAAUUUCUGCAGGUCAUAACUCACUAGAAAUGGCCCCUUUUCUUCAGAAAGUUGGAAUAGACCAAUUAUCAUAGAAGUAAUAGAGAAAGCAGUUAGAGCCCUCCCUCAGCACCCAAAAAACAGCAUUAAGCCCAAAUCAUUUCUCAGGACAAUUCUAGCAAACUUUAAAAAUCAGAUAUUUCCUGUGUUACUUAAACUAUUUUAUAGCAUAGAAAUAGAGGGAAGAGUUCCAAUUAUUGCCAAGAAUAUCAUCAAUUUGAAAAUCUGAUAAGAUUUUAUAAAAAAUUAAAACUACAAACCAAUCUCACUAAUAUUGAUAUGAAAAUGUUAAAGAAAAAUCUAAGCAAACAGAAUCCAAAGGUAGUACAUAAUGAGCAAAUAGAGUUUAUUCCAGGAAUGUCAGUGUGGUUCAAUACAGGAAAUCCAGGAAUUCUAUCUAAUCUAUCAUAUUCAUAGAGCUAAGGAUAAAAAUCAUGUGAUAGUCUCCAAAGAUGCAGAAAAGACAUUUGAGAAAUGCAGCACUCAUUCAUACUAAAAAUACUUUCUCAUUGAAGUCAGAGCCAAGACAAAGAUGUCCACAACCACCAAUACUAUAUGUUUGUGAAAACAAUGAAAUAAGGAAAUAUUUAGAAGCAGAAUAAUUUGAAAAGAAACAAUAACAAAAAAGAUAACUGUUUAUAGAUAAUAUGAUAAUACACUGGGAAGACCCAAAAGAAUCUAUGGAAAAACUAACAUAAACAAUAACAAAAUUCAAAAGUAAAAUCAAUAAGCAAGAGCAAUGGCCUACAUAUCUAGAAAGAAAAGCCAUUUGAAAGCACAAUGAAAGAGAUUUCAUUCAUGAUAAAGAGUAAAAGAAAACUGCCACAAUGAACUUCAUGAGAAAUGUCCAGAUGUCCUCACGAAAAAUAUAAAAUUUUUGUGAGAGACACAAAAGAAAUGGGGAGAUAGACCACAUUCAUAGAUAGACUGAACAUCAAAAGAUAUCAGUUCAGUUCACCUGAACAUAAUUUAUGAAUUUAACAUAAUUCUAAUUUUUUUCUGAAGCUAGACAAGUUGACUCAAAAGUUCAAGCAGAAAUAGCCAGGAUAACCUUGAAAAAAGUAAUGUGGAGAAACUAGCUUUACCCAAUAUUAAAAUGUAUUACAAAGUCUUUAUCACUUGAAAAAAAAUGUAGAAUAAGUAAAUUGAUAGAGUGAUAGAACUGAAUAAAAAAUCCAAUAGUAAAAAAAAAAAAAAUCCAAUAGUAGGCUCAAUUACUUAUAGAAAUUUAGUAUAUACCAAAG